GACAGAGGGGGCGAGCGUUGUCCGGAGUCACUGGGCGUAAAGCGCGCGCAGGCGGCAACCUUAGUGUCGUGUGAAAGCCCCCGGCUCAACCGGGGGAGGCCAUGGCAAACUGGGUCGCUCGAGCUGCGGAGAGGCCCCUCGAAUUGCCGGUGUAGCGGUGAAAUGCGUAGAGAUCGGCAGGAAGACCAAGGGGGAAGCCAGGGGGCUGGCCGCAGGCUGACGCUGAGGCGCGACAGCGUGGGGAGCAAACCGG
This 253-nucleotide ribosomal RNA is filed under the name uncultured bacterium. RNAcentral's name for it is "partial 16S ribosomal RNA". It matches the Rfam family "Bacterial small subunit ribosomal RNA", at positions 524 to 776 of the family's 1533-position model. The record is from RNAcentral.